UUUAUAUAUUUGUGCUGUUUUGAGCUCUAAUACUGUUUUUACCUUCUACUUUUUUUUUCUCUUCAACUCCUGGUAUCGUUGAGCUUCAAAAAAGAAGAGUUUUCCUGCAAAGGAAGUAGAACAGCACUUUACCUGAAAAGCUGAUUUCGUAAAUGACUGAUGUAGAAGCAGGCAAGUAUAAAAGAAACUGAACCCAGGAUUUGAACUUCCAGUAGACCAAGAGAAAGAAGUUAAAACCCUUGCAAAUACAGCCAUAUCACAGGCUAAGUCAAGUCUACAUGUGCCAUUGGAUACAGCUAAGAAGAAAAUGAGCUUCAGCCACUGUGCCUUUCCUCUGUUCUCUGAAAGGGCAGAGGUUCUGGCAGACAGAACAUAGCAGAUUCAAGGGGGAGAAUUUGACAACAAUUCACAAUUCUGACUUAAUUAGACUCAUUAACAAGACCAAGCAACAUAUUGUCUGUGGGAAAAGAUUUCAGAUGAGAGAAGACUGUUAUACAAUUUAUUCAAAUCCUUCUGCCAGGAGAAAGAAACUUGACCAAAACAAGGAGGCUUCCAAGAAGUGGCUGCAUUGCUCCUAAAGCUGCUUUUGGAGAGAACAGGGUUUAUUUUUGCCAAAGAAUACAGUGCAAUGUGGAGGACAGUAGCAGCCUUCAUGUACCAAUGGGCAGUGGGGCAGUGGCUCUUGGUGCCCAUCCAAUUCUUUGGAUGUAUCAUAUAUGAAAUUGCUGUUAACAUAUAGGCAGGUGAGGUGUCAUUCUACAAGCCUAAAAUUUCUCAUGCAAGAGAGCUAAAAAUAAUGUGAAUUCACACAGCAAUGGGGUCUUUGGGUCUCUUCACUCUCCGCCUCAUGAUUGCUAAUGAAAAAUCUUCAGUGGAGAAUCUAUGAAGAAAGGAGAAGAGUAUGGAUCUAUUUAACAACUUCUGUCCUGUACUUUCCUGCCACCACCUCCAAGCUGCUGCUGUUUUUUUCUACAAUUGAAUUUGUUUCCUUAGCACUAUAAGGAAAGCGGGCAACUUUUAUAUAAUAUCAUGUACAUGGAGAACAGGAAAACAUAGUGACCAGAGUACAAAACAUUCAGAAUAUUUUUAAAAGCAAAUAUUGACUUUUUUCCCUCCUUGCUCACCAGCUGCAGAGAAUACUGCGAGAGAAACCAAUCAGAGACUCAUUCCCAAACUGUCCAGAUGAAAAAGACCCGUAGGCUACUUUGCUUAUUGCCGUAACUGUCUGGAAUUGCUUCGUGCCAUAUAUUUAAGCACUAUAUUCAGGCUAAUUUGCCAUAACUUUUCACCAGAAAGCUAUCCCAUACCAUGAUAAAUCUUCCAACCAAUCCUGUCCUUGAAAACUCAUUCCACGUUUUCAUUCCAUUUUCAUUCAGAGCCAGAGAUGCUGCCAUAUAUUUAGAGGUUGAGGACCUCAAGCAGGCAUCAGAGAAUGCUGUCCAGGCUUUCCCUCUCUGUUCCUUUGUUCUGUGGAGGAUCUGGCACUGUGAUAAAAAUUCCAGACAGGCAAGUAAAACCGAUCCAUAUGACAGGACUAUCUCCUGCUUUCAUCUCCUGGAGAUAAAGACAGCCUUUCUUACCUCUAAGUUAGGAAAGAAUUCUCUAACAAGCAUGAAAGGAGAAAUGUCUUGGAACACCGCUGGUCCUACCAUACUGAAUUAAAGAAAAGCCUUUAUUGAAUACACUGAAGAAACAGAAUUUUAAAAUAAUCAUUUCACAAGUAUGGUCUAUCCAGGUGAACAGGCCUGCUCUUGGGGCCAAGAAGACCCUGAAAUAAUUCAGACCUCAUUCUGCAGCACAGAACCCAGCACGGUCUCGUUCACCCCCAGCUCCCUCUUAGCUGUGCCUGCAAAGUGUCACUGCACAGGGCACAGUGACUUAUGAAUUGUGAAUAUGUUCAUACCUUGAUUCUGUAAAUGCUCAGCCACUUGUUUGACCUUCCCCAUGACACAUCACUUAGCCUGUUAAAAAUAAUGGAAGUUUUCUGUCAUUUACAAAAGAGCAGAUGCAGAUGUGAGAUAAAAUGAAGUUCAGAUUCAAAGCUAUUCAGAAGGUUGAAAGUUCUAGGUUGGAAGCUAUUUCGGAACUUCGUUCAGUUCGGUUUUAGCUCUGGAUUGAAAUUACAAUUCUUUGCCUUUCUCAUCUAGAUAUUUGAGAUAGCUUUAAUGUGGUUUGUCAAAUAAUUUUCAAAUAGUGCUGCCUCAAUACAGGAACUGAGUUCUGCCUUUACAACUUUUAGUCAGAACCCUUGUAAAUGUCACUAAAAAUAUUAGAAAACACUACUAUUUCCAUAAGUGAUUAUGAAGGUGUGCUGCACUGGAAAAAUAGUAGUCUUUCAGCUGUAUGCAUUAUCAGUUUUUAGCUCUGCAAAGUAAAUUCUUGGUUAUCUCUCUUUAUUCCACACAAGCAUGGUAUUAAUAGCCUGGAGCAAUCUCUGUGUGCCCUUUCAAUCAGAAAAAUGUCCUGAUUUGUAUACUUACUUAUGUAGUAUAGGCCAAGCUGAAGUGCAAAUUUAUUUCCUAAGGAAAAGAGAUUUAAUGUAAAAGGUGAUCUGCAAAAGUUUCAGUUUUACUUACCUUGGAUAAGCACCAAGAAAUGAAGCUGCUUAUUCAAGCAGGUCUCAGCUGAGAGCUGCAAAGUCAAGGAUGGCAGGGAGGUAAGCAGACAAUAUUCUGUUCUCAGAUUCCUUUCUUCAAGGUGAGGUGUAUACUAGGAUUAAAGUAGGAUUACCACAAUAACAAUCGAGCCCACACUACCAGAACCCCACUUCACAGUGCCCAGCUCAGAGCCCUCACUUCCUGUUCCCCAACAGUUCCGCGCCUCCUCCACUGAGAUUCACCUUUGCAGCCCUCCCUUUCUGAUAUCCCAAUCCCUCCAAGGUAAAACCUUCAAUUCCUCCCGCACUUCAGCUGCACACUUCGCUGCUUGUCUAGAAAACAAAACCAAAAAUGUUAAAAUAUAUAUUUACUGGUUUGUUUGAAAUCUUGGCUUUCCCAAUCUUAGUGUAAUUCCUGAUCCUUAAAAUGACUGCAAAAAAAUAGAGAGAGGACGCGGUGAGUAAACAGCAUAGUCAUCAGCUACUUGUUUGGAGUGCAGAGAGCUGCCCACGAAGUACGGUGUGCUGAGAAUACUUUCAAAGAUGAAAAAGAGGCCCAUAGAGAAAUAGCUAUUAUCUCAAGUAAUCUUCAGCCCAGGGAUGUGUUUGUGAAAUAACUUUUGGAGACCUUUGGUAAUUCAGUACCUCAGCCUCUGGUCAAGGAGGUACGAGAUCAGAAAGGAGAUGUUCAUAAGCCCUUUUGAAAUUCCAUUCUCCCAUAACAGCAGGACAUUACAAUGUAUGGUAUGUGGCAAACAAAGGAUGGAUUACUAUGUGAUGACCUAAUGAUUAUCAGAAGAGGAGAAAAAAACAUUGCACCGUCUCUGUGUAAGUUUCAUUUAUCCAUGAAAUAAUAAUUGCUUCCCUAUUUGCAUUUCCAUUAUACAGAAUAGCCUACCUUCUGACAUACCACCACAGUGGUACUGUUUUAUUUAUUUAGGCUGGAUGAUUUGCUUUUCACAGUAUGACCAGCUGGUAGAAAAAUAGGAUUCAAUAAUGCAAACAUUUCACAGUAAAUAAAUUGCAUUAAUACAACACAGUAUAAAAGCUGUGCUCAGCAGUUUUGGUAGGACAAGGUCUGCUCUAGAACAAUGUGUACAGCUUUCUUAACAGUCACUCUGACAGCUAAGUUACAUUUUUUUAAUAUGAAAUAUUAGAAGAAGAUUUCUAUAGAAUUUAUUUAGGAGUUUAUCUACUUCUCCCCAUUGAAAAGUUACAUGUUCAGUUGGCUGCUUUCAAGAAUAGCUCUGUGGCUCUUUCUGUCUCAUAUUCACUGUUGUGGGCUCCUACAUAAAAUCUUUCAGUGACUAAGGACCACAUAAGGAACAGAACUGCAUAACCAUUAACCAAACUUCACAGUCACUCCAUCCAGAGAUAAUCCACACCCACCUUUCCAAACUAACCAGCUAAAGACUCAGAAAUGUUCUUUUAGGAUUAGAUCUAUUGACUUGAUUGCCUGACAGAUUUAAGAUCCCUUGCACAGAUUCCCAGCUCCUUCGUAGGCUGACAUAGAAGAUAAAUAUUCUUUGCUUCAGUUUCAAGCUAUAAGAGAGACUGGGCCUCCUUUCCUUCUUCUUUGGUCAUCUCUGGUUCUAAGAUAGCCACAGCCUCAAUUUAAGAAGUCCUUUCUGUAGUUUGCUGAUUGAUUCCAUAGCAAACACUUUGCUUCCACAGCCUAAGCAGAACCUAUACAUGGAAUGUAUUCUAAAUCUCCAUUCAGCACUGUCACCUUUGAUAUUGAUGCACUGCUACAGAGGAGACAUAAAUAUUUGACAAUAAAUGAGACACUCGGUGUCAUGACUUUGUGCCAUAUGUCAUGUGCUACGAAUUGACACCUGACAUAAAGUGAUAUGAAUUGGCUCUGAUUUUGUUCUAAUAGUCAGUGGUGUGCCUUGUGGCAAGGGAGACUUUCCAAAAUACAGUCUUUGACACGGUACCUACCUUCUGUCUCUCAUGGUGUCUCAUGGAGUACUUUGGACUCAUGGCCCCGUGCAGUGCCGCCAGUCACUUCUUGUAUUUUGCUGACAAUCUGUGCCAAAAUCCUGCUAUUCAGUAAGGAUCCAUCAGAGAAAGACAGCGCAUUAUUUUACUGGCACAGAAACUUGUUUGGACACCGUAAGACAAUAUUUUAUAUAUUGCUUAACAAAUUAUUUUAGUGUUUUGUUUGAGCCUGAUAGAAACACUGGACUCUUUUGGUAUGAAUGGAAUAUUGUUAAAGGAAAGAAUACAGAGAGGUCACAUCCUUCUUAGUUUGAAGACAAACCAAAAAAGAAAACGCCUGCUUUUAAUGCUGCCCAUUGUCCUGUUUCUCCUUGAUUCUUUUGCAACAACUGCAAUCUUUGUUUUCUGAUCCAGCAUUGAAGAAAAAGAAGAGCCUCUUGCAUAUGGUUGUAUUUCUUCAGCAAUUACUUGACUGUUUUUAUAUUUGUAAAGGUAUCUUACAGACUUAACAAGAAAGAAUAAAAGCAAUCAUGUCUUUAAUUCUUUGAAUCUGUCAGCACUGCAGCUCAGUAGUUUAGGACUUGCCAUUCUUAUCUCUGAACGUGUCUCACCAGUGUUACUGCAAGCCGUGGGUCUGUGAGUAGUAAAAUUACAGAAGAAGGUAAGGUGAGAUUCUAAGCCUUUAUGGCCUUUGACAGGAAAUACCAUGUACACAUACUUACUGUUAGAUGUUUGUCCCAUCUGUCACUACUGUACUGUCAGUGUUUUAGCUACAAUGGAUAUAUACACUGUCCCAAAAAGAAGGUGUAGGUAUUAAUACCUCAUGUGUAUGUAUUACAGUAUUUUGUUCUAGGGUUUGUGCUGAAGUCUUUUUUCCUAUAUAAUACUUGGCACAAUGUAACCAAUAAA
Molecule: long non-coding RNA, 5446 nt
Organism: Tympanuchus pallidicinctus (lesser prairie-chicken)
Lineage: Eukaryota; Metazoa; Chordata; Aves; Galliformes; Phasianidae
Exons: 6
Source: RefSeq, a predicted model, not a curated record